RNAcentral lists this ribosomal RNA (436 nucleotides) under Vicia faba (fava bean). RNAcentral's name for it is "eukaryotic LSU rRNA". The stretch from base 267 to 436 matches the Rfam family "Eukaryotic large subunit ribosomal RNA", at positions 1 to 172 of the family's 3401-position model. The record is from RNAcentral. Lineage: Eukaryota; Viridiplantae; Streptophyta; Magnoliopsida; Fabales; Fabaceae.
UGGGCGGCCCCCGAUCGCCAUUUAGGUUGGAGGGCACGUCUGCCUGGGUGUCACAUAUCGAAGCCUCCUUGCCAAUUUCCCUGAUUAUUGUGCAGGGUGGAUGUUGGCCUCCCGUGAGCUCUUUCGUCUCAUGGUUGGUUGAAAAUUGAGACCUUGGUAGGGUGUGCCAUGAUAGAUGGUGGUUGUGUGACCCACGAGACCAAUCAUGCGCUGCUCUAUUGAAUUUGGCCUCCUUUACCCAUAUGCGUUUCCAAACGCUCGUGAUGAGACCUCAGGUCAGGCGGGGCUACCCGCUGAAUUUAAGCAUAUCAAUAAGCGGAGGAAAAGAAACUAACAAGGAUUCCCUUAGUAACGGCGAGCGAACCGGGAUAAGCCCACCAUGAGAAUCGGUCGCCCUCGGCGUUCGAAUUGUAGUUGAGAAAAACCGUCAAAGGGG